Molecule: ribosomal RNA, 1396 nt
Filed under: uncultured bacterium
Lineage: Bacteria
Description: partial 16S ribosomal RNA
Rfam family: Bacterial small subunit ribosomal RNA
Source: RNAcentral
GAAUUCGCCCUUAGAGUUUGAUCCUGGCUCAGGAUGAACGCUGGCGGCGUGCUUAACACAUGCAAGUCGAACGGGAAUUACUUUAUUGAAACUUCGGUCGAUUUAAUUUAAUUCUAGUGGCGGACGGGUGAGUAACGCGUGAGGAACCUGCCUCAAAGAGGGGGACAACAGUUGGAAACGACUGCUAAUACCGCAUAAGCCCACGACCCGGCAUCGGGUAGAGGGAAAAGGAGCAAUCCGCUUUGAGAUGGCCUCGCGUCCGAUUAGCUAGUUGGUGAGGUAAUGGCCCACCAAGGCGACGAUCGGUAGCCGGACUGAGAGGUUGAACGGCCACAUUGGGACUGAGACACGGCCCAGACUCCUACGGGAGGCAGCAGUGGGGAAUAUUGCACAAUGGGGGAAACUCUGAUGCAGCGACGCCGCGUGAAGGAAGAAGUAUCUCGGUAUGUAAACUUCUAUCAGCAGGGAAGAUAGUGACGGUACCUGACUAAGAAGCCCCGGCUAACUACGUGCCAGCAGCCGCGGUAAUACGUAGGGGGCAAGCGUUAUCCGGAUUUACUGGGUGUAAAGGGAGCGUAGACGGUGUGGCAAGUCUGAUGUGAAAGGCAUGGGCUCAACCUGUGGACUGCAUUGGAAACUGUCAUACUUGAGUGCCGGAGGGGUAAGCGGAAUUCCUAGUGUAGCGGUGAAAUGCGUAGAUAUUAGGAGGAACACCAGUGGCGAAGGCGGCUUACUGGACGGUAACUGACGCUGAGGCUCGAAAGUGUGGGUAGCAAACAGGAUUAGAUACCCUGGUAGUCCACACUGUAAACGAUGAUUACUAGGUGUUGGAGGAUUGACCCCUUCAGUGCCGCAGUUAACACAAUAAGUAAUCCACCUGGGGAGUACGACCGCAAGGUUGAAACUCAAAGGAAUUGACGGGGGCCCGCACAAGCAGUGGAGUAUGUGGUUUAAUUCGACGCAACGCGAAGAACCUUACCAAGUCUUGACAUCCUGCGACGAUGCUGGAAACAGUAUUUUCCUUCGGGACGCAGAGACAGGUGGUGCAUGGUUGUCGUCAGCUCGUGUCGUGAGAUGUUGGGUUAAGUCCCGCAACGAGCGCAACCCUUAUGGUCAGUUACUACGCAAGAGGACUCUGGCCAGACUGCCGUUGACAAAACGGAGGAAGGUGGGGAUGACGUCAAAUCAUCAUGCCCUUUAUGACUUGGGCUACACACGUACUACAAUGGCGUUAAACAAAGAGAAGCAAGACCGCGAGGUGGAGCAAAACUCAGAAACAACGUCCCAGUUCGGACUGCAGGCUGCAACUCGCCUGCACGAAGUCGGAAUUGCUAGUAAUCGCAGAUCAGCAUGCUGCGGUGAAUACGUUCCCGGGCCUUGCACUCACCGCCCGUCA